GAAGCUCCGUGAACGCUGGGGCGGGGGGUGCAGCUUAUAAGGGCUCAGGGGAACCUGGUGCUCUGGGGUCCCUUAGCGUCACUAGAGAACAGCUACUGCUGCCAACUUUAAGGUGUGCGUGAAGGUAGACUUGGCUGAACUUUCCUAACCGGGAGACUGGUGACUGUGACCUACGGUACCUGUAGGAGUAAAGCAAAUGAACUCCAGAUGCAGGCUUGUAUGGAAUGAAGCGGAUGGGAUUAAAACAUAUAUAAAUGGAGUCUGACGACUUUAAUUGUAUAUGCUUGUUUUUUGGUCUUCCCUACGUAAAAACAAUAAAGUAGUCUCGGAGUCGUUAUGAAAUUUACUCAGAUUUCUCGCUUAACUAGGAAGAAGACUGUGAAAUAUGUAUUUCCGAUAAGAUUAAACUUAAAGGAGUUUGAGUAUUUAUUGACUAAAAUAGAUUACUCCAAAGUGUCUGUUGUGUAAAUUAGAUUCCUGAAUGUAAUGAACACAGCCGAAUGGCAUUUUUGAUAAAUUGGUCUACCCUGUUUUAGUAAAAAUAGCUCCCUUUUACCAUAAUUUAAUUUCUGUGCUUACUGUAAAACCCGUUGUGGAGUUUUAAAAGACAAAUCUUAAUUUUUUCUUUUCUUGCCUUAGUAAGUGUGACAUCCUAGCUUAGUAUCAAUGAAGUUUCUUUUUUAAACAUCCUGGCCAAACUGCCUGGGAAAUAGAUUUGGUGUCUAGAGAGUUAUUAGAUUUUGUGAACUCUCUGGACCCACUCCCUCUCUUGCCAGUGAUUAGCUGCAUCAUCUGGGAUCAUGGGGACAUUUAACUGUGUGGCUCUAAGGCUAGAGUGAGAGUUUCCUUCUCAGUGUGCUUGAAUGAACUUUAAUAUGUUGAUUUAAAAAAAAAAAUUCUUUAUCUGAGUAUCAUUCUCUUUCUUGCGCAUCCAGUGCCUUUUGGUGGUAGAUAAUAAUUUGGCCUUGCGUGAUUUCCAAUUGCCGCUUUGUCGCAUGUUUGAAAACUUCAAUUGAACGUGGAAUGCCAGAGUGGAAGUGUAAGCCUAAACUGGUUCUUUCCUGGGCCCUGAAGAGGCCUUUUGAGUUAUCUGGUUUAGGGUCAUCUCUGUUCCCACCAAUGCUAUUUAAAGAGGAGCCCUGCAGCCUUUCACUAUGCCCCACCGCUGUUUACCGGGAUGUUCCAGUCAUGCCGUCUCAGAAACUGGGUGCCUGGAUACCCAAGAGAAUGGAGCAUUUGCAGAUGAUGGAGUGAAAAAGAAACUGUAAUGGCGUAAUUAGACAAGCCGUUUAAUUUCUGUGUUAUGUAACAUUUAUAACAAAGAAGUUGUGAAUUCAUUUGUGACUUUUGAUUUAAUAAACACUUACUGACCUGAGUAUUUGGGUACAUUUUGUUACAUCCUAAUACUGAUUUAGAAUUCAGAAAGAAAUCACUUUCCUUAAAAGUUCUCCAUUUAGAGAUACAAGCUUAAAUAGUAACCCCCCCUCCAAAAAAAAAAAAAAAAUUAACUCUGUUAGGGGGAUAUUUAUUAAGAUAUUAAUGGCGGGGCCUUCUGAAUUAUCUUUUUUCCCAUUUGAGUUUCCAAGCUAUGUUCCUGAAAACCAGAAGACAGCCCUGGUUUUGCUAUCUGGUUAAGAACCGAGCUUUGGUUUGUGCGUAGAUAUGACUGUGAGUAUGUUGGAUUUUACUUAAGAUGACAACUAAGAUUUUAUUGAGCUGUUGGCCCUGUCCUGGCUUUGGAUUUGCUGCGCCUUAAUCCAUUCCUCUUUUAAGCUGUAUUCUGAGAAAGUUGUUAGAGGGGAGCAGUCUGGCUGGAAGGGAAGAGUCCCUGCCAGAAGCUAAUAGGGCUUGAGAGCGAACCUGUGGUGCUGCUCGCAUUUACUCCAUGCCUCAAGCAGCUUUGAAACACCUGGGCUAAUGCACCUGGGUGGUGACUUAAAGAUUUUUUAAAGUCUUGUGCUACUCUGUUCACAAAACAUGACAGUUAAAAUACCUAAUGAGGGCAAGCAACUCUUUCUGAAAGACAUCUAAUUUGUUGCAAAACCUAUCAACAGCUUUUCCUUUAAAAAGUAAACAACUCUAAUAAAAAUAAUUUUAAUUCUUACUGUAAUUAUAGGAUAAUAUUAGGCACAUAUGUUGUACACACAAUAAAUGCUUGUUAAUUUCUUAAUUUUAAUCUGAAAUCUUUAUCCUCUUUUAUGUUUAUGAGAGCCCUGGGCUAGGGGCAGCCCAGGAAGCUACUGUGACCACAGGGUUGCCAGACUCUGGCGUGGAUCCACCCACGGGGGUCUUCUAAGAGGAAGCUGCCCGUUCUUCCCCACGUUGUUCCCAGCUAACACAAUCAGACAGUUGACUAGAAAGGAGCUGGGUUGGGAGUAUUCCUCCUCGGGACAUACCUAACACUACAGAGCAACUGAAAAAAUAGUCAGGUAGGAGAUUCACCUUAAAUGAAACUGACUAGAUCCUGCUACCUGUCAAUGAAGCAUUUGUGAAAAUGAGUUGGAAUUGCAACAAAACGGCCCACACUUUUCUGAAACAGAAGAGGCUGUGGGAAUGGACAGGGCCCACUGGGUGUUGCACAUGGCAGAUGCUCCAUCAGUUGACAGUUGAAAUCCUGGAUGCUUUUGAUUGUGAUUUAUGAAGUUAACGUAGGAGGAAGUUACCAGAGCUUACCCCGAAACUCCAGGGAAGUAGCUUCUUUUUCCUUAGUAUUCCUCUUACAGUGGCAUGGAGCCUGCUUUCUUAAAGACACCUUUCUGUUAGGCUGUGUUUAUUCAAUAAGUAGAUGCAGUUAACAUUUCUCAGAAAAAUUUUUAUAUAUGGUUGUGAGGUGUUCUGAGCUUCGUUGGGGAAAAACAAAUUGACAAAUUAGCUCUUAAGUUGAGCAUUGCAAACUUGCGAGAAAUAGAAUGUCAUUCUUACUGUCAUUGAAAAUUUAUUUGGGUGUUGACAGCCUUUCGUUAAUGUAAGACAUUGAGAUCCUGUCCACCAGGUUUUAUUAAAAAAAAAAAAAAAUUCAAAAGCUGCUUCCCAUUU
Trichechus manatus latirostris (Florida manatee) is the source of this 3036-nucleotide long non-coding RNA. RefSeq lists it as uncharacterized. NCBI's taxonomy places the organism in Eukaryota, Metazoa, Chordata, Mammalia, Sirenia, Trichechidae. The transcript has 2 exons. The record is from RefSeq and is a predicted model, not a curated record.